AUAGAUAAUUUAAAUUUAACUCGAUCUCCUACAAGUUGAAUUAAGUUAAACAAGUUAAAUGGUUAAGCAUUGCUACCUCUAUUUUUGAUUUUUGUUACUUUUUGCAAAAUGUAGGCUUGUGAGUUACGUAUGUACAUGGAUUGUAUAAUCAAAAGGCCAGAUGGCAACCAUUGCAACUUGCAUAUGUGGUGAUGAAACCAAAUCCAUAUCACAUAGUUUGCACAAGAAAACACAGUUUAAUAUGUCCUUGCGACCUCCUCUAUGAGACUGUGACUAGAUAUGGGUGUCUCAAGUUCUGAACCGCCUUCUCUGGUCAUGCAUCAUGACUAGUCGAGUUAGUGCAAGAAUACAAGAUAGAGCUUAUCAGGGUGAUUCUGCUUUCACACUUUCUUGACUUGAGUUUUUGGUAUAUCAAUUAUUAGAGUAUUAACCCAGCUUGCCUUUCUUUUUAGGGUUAACCGGCUGGUCAUAUAACAAAGACAUCUCAGUAUCAUGAAUUAUCAUUCAUAUGUAUGGUAGUCAUAAUUUGUGCUCAUAUAUUAUGAUAUAUCAAAUGUACUACUUUCUCAAUAGAUAUUUCAAUUUUGCUAACAAUGUUUUGUGCAAGUAAUCUUAUGUGAGGUGCAAUUAUUAGUUUGAAACCAAUCCAAACCAAGUCAAAUCAGUUUGGUUUGAUUCCUAUCAUGUCCCAAACCAAUCAAUCUUAAUCUGAUCCAUCUAGUUCCGCACUGGUUUGAUAUGACAUAUUAUGACUUGGAUGGUUCAGAUUCGUUUUGCAACCUUUGGCAAUUCCACUUAAUUCUAUAUAAUAUGCCCCGAACUAGGCAGUUCAGGUCGAUUUGGAAAACUUGGGUGCCAUGGCUCUAUAUGCCUGGAAGGCAACAAAGGAUUUAAGUAGCAUGAAGGAAAUAAAGGAAAGAAGAUGUUAGAGAACAAUAUAGUGUAUACAAGCCAAUGUAGGGAAUGGUGUCCUUAUGGUACAAAGCUUUAUUUUUUCCUUUCGCAUAUUAAUAUUCAUGACACAACACAUAUCAAAAUGGUCGGCAGCUUUGGCAAUGGUCCAAGAGAAGCUAAUUAACAAGCAGAAUUCCACAAAGGUACAAUGACUCCUCAUUUUGAAUUAUGCCUGUUUAUUCCUUUAAUAUAAAAAAAAUUAUCUGGCGAUCAAUGCAUACUCACCACUAUAGGUAAUGGCGAUGGUAAUGUAUGUGGAGAAGUUCAACAGAAGUUUGAAUGUGAAUUCUACAUGGUAAAAUUGAUUCCUUGAAUUGAACUGCAUCACAUUCGCAUCUUCCUCUUUAAGAAUUAUCAUAUAUUCAUCAUAUGUACGCCACCAUGGCGGGCGAUGGAAGAGCCAAUGGCAAUGGUCUUUGAGAAGCUCAUCAAAAGUUUGUGCGCUCUCUAAUAGAUUCCUUGAACUGAAUUAUAACAUGUUCUUUUAUGAAAAAUUAUGUCAAAGUCAUAUACCAACCUGCCUAUGUUCAAUAGCCUACCUUCCUUGACCAGCAUUCCCCUCCAUUUUGCACCCUAUUUCUAAAAAAAAUCAUGCCACGCUCAUAUUUGCUCAAAAAGAAAUAUUUGCAUUCUUUUUGUAACUGCUACUACGCGCAAUGACGAUGAUAAUAACCUUUGAGAAGCUCACAACAAUCUACAUGUAAACUCUGAAAAGUACAUUGAUUCCUUAAAUUGAACACUAUUUUUCUCACCUUAGUCCCUCAAGCAAUUGAGGUCCAACCUUUGGAUUAACUGCCACCUAAUGUUUAGGCUCAUCCACAGGCAUUUUUAAUGAUCAUUUUUCUUUUAAUCCCUGGCCCAGGCAUAAGUAUGUAUAAAACAGACAUAACUACUGCAUAUAUAGGGAAAACAGUGUGUAGGAAACUAUGGAGAUUGGCCUGCAAAUAGGCAAGUAAUUUGCAUAGAAUGCAGAGAAGACACAGGAGAAAACUAUAGUGUACCGGUCUUUGGCUAAAGCAUGAGGUUUUCCACAGGACUUAAUUUUUUAAUUUACAUUCACAUUUCCUCUAAAGUUCUUCAUCAGGAGAAGUGAUCGGUCUCAAUUCCUCAACAAGUUCUCUGGCAAAUUCAAAUUGGAUAGGAAACGAGUUUCCUGGUGGCAGUUCAACCCUUUAAGCAAGGCUUUCAGAUGCCACAAAGUUUCAAUCAACCUGAUAUGCCUUGAUGGGCCUUCGCCUUGGCUAGGUUUAACCACAAUGCUUGCAAGCAAUUAAGCAUUGAGCAACAACGUAGCAGAGACUUUGUCAGGAAACUACAUAGACCAGAAUAGAAAGUUCAACAUGAAGAAUAAUCUUUAGUUAAGACCUCUCAAAAUUAAUAGAUUGCAAGUACAACCUUGCCAAGAUUUGCAAUCUCCAAUCAUACCUCCCCUAUGGCCCAUAUCGGGUAGGGUACUAAAACUUUAGUAUACCCCCUGCUUCAAGUAUCAGUAAUGAGGCACAUGAGGCACAUGCCGUAGGAUGUAUUGGUUGGACAUUGGUACAAGAUCUGGUACCAAGAUUGCAAAAUACAUGUCUUAUGUCUAAUAUCCGUUAAAGUUAAACAAGUAUCUUCGCAUGCAAAUUAUAGCUAAAUGUUCUUAGCUUACUGCAUGAUGGCAACCCUUACCAUUUUCUACAUAUGUACCUGGAUUGCACUGUGUGUGGGGCUUUGUGCUAGAGUGACGCAUUGGUUUCUGAAAGAUUUAACAGAGUGGUUGAAACAAUACUGUCAAUUGUUAAUAUUCUGCUUGUUAAUAUCUUCAUCACAGAUUUUUCGGAACAACAUUGAGUUUGUCAAAUAAGGCUAGAAAGAGCUAGUUAUUGACUGCAGGUGAUUCCACUUAGCAAUAUAAUCAGUUGUCUUGCAACAGGUAUGCAGUUCAGUCUCAUGGCUAGCACUAACACUUGUUCCAAUUCAGGAGGAAGAUUAAUACAAUCCAUCCGAAUGUUAGUAUUUACAUCCAGAGUAAUGAAGAUUAUUUGUGAAAGUAGCAUUUGCAAAUCAGACUUGGAAGCAGAGACGCUUCAGUUUGUAAACAAAUUUGGAGAAAUGAGAAGAGUUUGACAGAAGUUGACAAAAAAAUAAAAGAAUAAAUAUAAUAGAAAGCAUAAAGUUACUGACAAAAAUACAAUAGUCCAUGAGGGGGCAAGCAUGGUAGACUCCAGCAUUGGCUAAAGUUCUUUUCUUUGAAAAGACCUUUUUGAAAAAGUGAUUGAGUAAAAAAAAA
Molecule: non-coding RNA, 3223 nt
Organism: Phoenix dactylifera (date palm)
Lineage: Eukaryota; Viridiplantae; Streptophyta; Magnoliopsida; Arecales; Arecaceae
Source: RefSeq, a predicted model, not a curated record